UUCUUCUUCCUCUUCUAUUUUUUUUUUUUUGGUAUUUUUCCUUUUCUUAGCUGAGAUUUUCUUUGCAUCAAUGAUGAAUACAUUUUCUUGUGUGCUGAGAACAGUCUUUGUGGCUGCUUUGGAACCCCUGUUUACUAACCCCAGGCUCUGCAUCAUCUCAGAAUUAGUGUGUGGUCAUUGUCUUUUAAAUAUGCACCACGGGUCUCAUUUGCAUGUCAAACAGUUCUGGAGUGUGUUUCGAAUAUUGUGAAUGGUCUUCUAUGUGUUUUCUGGAUUCUGCUUUUAUUCUCAAAGCACUUAUGCUCUGUCUGAGUCAGCAGCCUGUGCAGUGUGCUGCCUGCCUGCUCUGCUUUAGCCUGGACUUUAGUGCUCGGAAAUCUCCAGUUGGCUUCAAACUUGAGAUUCUUCUUUCUUAAGUUCUACAGUUCUUGGAUAAAAGGGUCUCAUAUACCCGAGGCUGACCUCAGGAUCACCAUGUAGCCUAGGAUGUACUCCAUCUUGCUUCCACCUCCAUCUUGCUAAGAUUACAGGUGUGCACUUCUACACUUGUUCAUGUACUUCUGCAAAUGGAGCCCAAGGCUUUGUGCAUGAUGGGAGAGUGUGACGGCUGUGUGUUGCCUGGUAGGAAGUUUUUUGUGGACCUGAUAGGUAUGGCUCCAGGGGCUCCAGGUUUUGAUGCCUCCCAACAAAUGGCAGACUCAGCAUUGGUCAUGGUAUUCUUAGCUGUGGUUUGUAUUGCAUCCUGAUGGUUUCAUCAUGCAUUCUUCCUACUCCGAGAGGAUACAGCAACUGAAAGAAGAUGCCAUGAGGUGGAGGUAAACAGCUUACCUCUGCCAUGUCCUGAUCCUAUGAUGUUCUGCCUUGUGCCUGUAAUAAUGCCCAUAACAAAGCAAGCCAUGUGUACUGAAACCUUGGAAGCUGUAAGCCAAAAAUAAAUCUUUCCUCCUUUAAAUUUUCUAUCUCAGAUAUUUGAUAUUAUGAUAGAGUGAUGAAGAAGCUAAUACAACAGGUUUAGUUUUCAUUGCCCAUCACAAAAAGAAUUUCAAAGAAAGGUAAAAAAUAAAAUAGAAAAUAUGUGGUUUAAUCCAAGAAAUUAUUGUUGCUUUUGUGAUUUAUUGUAUUUUUAAUCUUGUAUUUGUAUGUAUGUCUGUAUCUGUCGGGUGGGUGCACACGAAUAUUGGUGCCUAUCGAAGCCAGAAGAAGGUGUUUGAUCCCCUGGAGCAGGAGUUAGCCACUUGACAUGGGUCCUGGGAACCUAAUUUGGGUCUUCUGAAAGCAUGCUUCCUUGUCAGCAGAUCCUCAGAAAUGACUGUUUUGAACUAGAUAAAAAGUUAUUUCUAACCCAGGAAAGGAGGACAAGGGU
This is a non-coding RNA of Peromyscus maniculatus bairdii (prairie deer mouse), 1363 nucleotides long. NCBI's taxonomy places the organism in Eukaryota, Metazoa, Chordata, Mammalia, Rodentia, Cricetidae. The record is from RefSeq and is a predicted model, not a curated record.